AGGCAGCGUGAGGGGAGGUUCAGAAGUCAUAGCAGCAGAAUCAGGACAUUCGGCUCAUCUACUCCACUAUUCAAACAUGGCUGAUCUAUAUUCCCGCCUCAAUCCCAUUCUUCUGCCUUCUCCCCGCAACCUUUG
Long non-coding RNA from Amblyraja radiata (thorny skate), 135 nucleotides. RefSeq lists it as uncharacterized. NCBI's taxonomy places the organism in Eukaryota, Metazoa, Chordata, Chondrichthyes, Rajiformes, Rajidae. The transcript is spliced from 3 exons. The record is from RefSeq and is a predicted model, not a curated record.